UACGAAGGGGGCUAGCGUUGUUCGGAAUCACUGGGCGUAAAGGGCGUGUAGGCGGGAAGGAAAGUCAGAUGUGAAAUCCCUGGGCUCAACCCAGGAACUGCAUUUGAAACUCCCUUUCUUGAGUGUCGGAGAGGAAAGUGGAAUUCCUGGUGUAGAGGUGAAAUUCGUAGAUAUCAGGAGGAACACCGGUGGCGAAGGCGGCUUUCUGGACGACAACUGACGCUGAGACGCGAAAGCGUGGGGAGCAAACAGG
RNAcentral lists this ribosomal RNA (253 nucleotides) under uncultured bacterium. RNAcentral's name for it is "partial 16S ribosomal RNA". It matches the Rfam family "Bacterial small subunit ribosomal RNA", at positions 524 to 776 of the family's 1533-position model. The record is from RNAcentral.